GGGCCCGCACAAGCGGUGGAGCAUGUGGUUUAAUUCGAUGAUACGCGAGGAACCUUACCAGGACUUAAAUGUAAGUUGCAUGAUUCAGAAAUGAAUCUUUCUUCGGACUACUUACAAGGUGCUGCAUGGUUGUCGUCAGCUCGUGCCGUGAGGUGUCAGGUUAAGUCCUAUAACGAGCGCAACCCCUAUCGUUAGUUGCCAGCAAUUAAAGUUGGGUACUCUAGCGAGACUGCCGGUGCAAACCGUGAGGAAGGUGGGGAUGACGUCAAAUCAUCACGGCCCUUACGUCCUGGCUACACACGUGCUACAAUGGCCGGUACAGAGAGCAGCCACUACGCGAGUAG
This 344-nucleotide ribosomal RNA is filed under the name uncultured bacterium. Its description in RNAcentral is "bacterial SSU rRNA". It matches the Rfam family "Bacterial small subunit ribosomal RNA", at positions 917 to 1264 of the family's 1533-position model. The record is from RNAcentral.